CAAUAGCGUAUACUAAUGUUGUUGCAGUUAAAAAGCUCGUAGUUGAACUUCUGGUAGGAGUGUCCCGGCCUUUUUGUUUUUACAAAUUGUAUGCUGUGUGACAUCUCUGGCCAUCCUUCUUCUUUGUUUAAAGAAGAUCUUUCACUGUAAAAAAAUUAGGGUGUUCAAAGCAAAAGUUUCUUUGGAAUAUAUUAGUAUGGGAUGAUAAGAUAGGCUCUAGAUGCUAUUUUGUUGGUUUGCACAUUUAGAGAAUGAUUAACAGGGACAGUUGGGGGUAUUCGUAUUUACAUGUCAGAGGUGAAAUUCUUGGAUUUUGGAAAGACGAACUACUGCGAAAGCAUUUACCAAGGAUGUUUUCAUUAAU
RNAcentral lists this ribosomal RNA (364 nucleotides) under uncultured eukaryote. Its description in RNAcentral is "partial 18S ribosomal RNA". It matches the Rfam family "Eukaryotic small subunit ribosomal RNA", at positions 592 to 977 of the family's 1831-position model. The record is from RNAcentral.